GGUUUACCUGUGUGACUGCGUACCUUUUGUAUAAUGGGUCAGCGACUUAUAUUCUGUAGCAAGGUUAACCGAAUAGGGGAGCCGGAGGGAAACCGAGUCUUAAUUGGGCGUUAAGUUGCAGGGUAUAGACCCGAAACCCGGUGAUCUAGCCAUGGGCAGGUUGAAGGUUGGGUAACACUAACUGGAGGACCGAACCGACUAAUGUUGAAAAAUUAGCGGAUGACCUGUGGCUGGGGGUGAAAGGCCAAUCAAACCGGGAGAUAGCUGGUUCUCCCCGAAAGCUAUUUAGGUAGCGCCUCGUGAAUUCAUCUCCGGGGGUAGAGCACUGUUUCGGCUAGGGGGCCAUCCCGGCUUACCAACCCGAUGCAAACUGCGAAUACCGGAGAAUGUUAUCACGGGAGACACACGGCGGGUGCUAACGUCCGUCGUGAAGAGGGAAACAACCCAGACCGCCAGCUAAGGUCCCAAAGUCAUGGUUAAGUGGGAAACGAUGUGGGAAGGCCCAGACAGCCAGGAUGUUGGCUUAGAAGCAGCCAUCAUUUAAAGAAAGCGUAAUAGCUCACUGGUCGAGUCGGCCUGCGCGGAAGAUGUAACGGGGCUAAACCAUGCACCGAAGCUGCGGCAGCGACGCUGAUGCGUUGUUGGGUAGGGGAGCGUUCUGUAAGCCUGCGAAGGUGUGUCGUGAGGCAUGCUGGAGGUAUCAGAAGUGCGAAUGCUGACAUAAGUAACGAUAAAGCGGGUGAAAAGCCCGCUCGCCGGAAGACCAAGGGUUCCUGUCCAACGUUAAUCGGGGCAGGGUGAGUCGACCCCUAAGGCGAGGCCGAAAGGCGUAGUCGAUGGGAAACGGGUUAAUAUUCCCGUACUUGGUGUUACUGCGAAGGGGGGACGGAGAAGGCUAUGUUGGCCGGGCGACGGUUGUCCCGGUUUAAGCGUGUAGGUGUGUGUUCCAGGUAAAUCCGGUUCACUUUAACACUGAGGCGUGAUGACGAGGCACUACGGUGCUGAAGCAACAAAUGCCCUGCUUCCAGGAAAAGCCUCUAAGCAUCAGGUAACAUCAAAUCGUACCCCAAACCGACACAGGUGGUCAGGUAGAGAAUACCAAGGCGCUUGAGAGAACUCGGGUGAAGGAACUAGGCAAAAUGGUGCCGUAACUUCGGGAGAAGGCACGCUGACACGUAGGUGAAGUGAUUUACUCAUGGAGCUGAAGUCAGUCGAAGAUACCAGCUGGCUGCAACUGUUUAUUAAAAACACAGCACUGUGCAAACACGAAAGUGGACGUAUACGGUGUGACGCCUGCCCGGUGCCGGAAGGUUAAUUGAUGGGGUCAGCGCAAGCGAAGCUCCUGAUCGAAGCCCCGGUAAACGGCGGCCGUAACUAUAACGGUCCUAAGGUAGCGAAAUUCCUUGUCGGGUAAGUUCCGACCUGCACGAAUGGCGUAAUGAUGGCCAGGCUGUCUCCACCCGAGACUCAGUGAAAUUGAACUCGCUGUGAAGAUGCAGUGUACCCGCGGCAAGACGGAAAGACCCCGUGAACCUUUACUAUAGCUUGACACUGAACAUUGAGCCUUGAUGUGUAGGAUAGGUGGGAGGCUUUGAAGUGUGGACGCCAGUCUGCAUGGAGCCGACCUUGAAAUACCACCCUUUAAUGUUUGAUGUUCUAACGUGGACCCGUGAUCCGGGUUGCGGACAGUGUCUGGUGGGUAGUUUGACUGGGGCGGUCUCCUCCUAAAGAGUAACGGAGGAGCACGAAGGUUGGCUAAUCCUGGUCGGACAUCAGGAGGUUAGUGCAAUGGCAUAAGCCAGCUUGACUGCGAGCGUGACGGCGCGAGCAGGUGCGAAAGCAGGUCAUAGUGAUCCGGUGGUUCUGAAUGGAAGGGCCAUCGCUCAACGGAUAAAAGGUACUCCGGGGAUAACAGGCUGAUACCGCCCAAGAGUUCAUAUCGACGGCGGUGUUUGGCACCUCGAUGUCGGCUCAUCACAUCCUGGGGCUGAAGUAGGUCCCAAGGGUAUGGCUGUUCGCCAUUUAAAGUGGUACGCGAGCUGGGUUUAGAACGUCGUGAGACAGUUCGGUCCCUAUCUGCCGUGGGCGCUGGAGAACUGAGGGGGGCUGCUCCUAGUACGAGAGGACCGGAGUGGACGCAUCACUGGUGUUCGGGUUGUCAUGCCAAUGGCACUGCCCGGUAGCUAAAUGCGGAAGAGAUAAGUGCUGAAAGCAUCUAAGCACGAAACUUGCCCCGA
RNAcentral lists this ribosomal RNA (2237 nucleotides) under Salmonella enterica subsp. enterica serovar Brandenburg. RNAcentral's name for it is "partial 23S ribosomal RNA". It matches the Rfam family "Bacterial large subunit ribosomal RNA", at positions 582 to 2802 of the family's 2925-position model. The record is from RNAcentral. Lineage: Bacteria; Pseudomonadati; Pseudomonadota; Gammaproteobacteria; Enterobacterales; Enterobacteriaceae.